UGGCGUGCGUGACGCGCCGCGGACCCACCCCGCGCCAUCCCGAACCGGGUCGUGAAACGCGGCAGCGCCGAUGGUACUGGCGGGACGCCCGCCGGGAGAGUAGGUCCGUGCGCCGC
Roseiflexus sp. RS-1 is the source of this 116-nucleotide non-coding RNA. The record is from Rfam. Lineage: Bacteria; Bacillati; Chloroflexota; Chloroflexia; Chloroflexales; Roseiflexaceae.